ACUCCUACGGGAGGCAGCAGUAGGGAAUCUUCCACAAUGGGCGCAAGCCUGAUGGAGCAACACCGCGUGAGUGAAGAAGGGUUUCGGUCUCGUAAAGCUCUGUUGUUAAAGAAGAACACGUAUGAGAGUAACUGUUCAUACGUUGACGGUAUUUAACCAGAAAGUCACGGCUAACUACGUGCCAGCAGCCGCGGUAAUACGUAGGUGGCAAGCGUUAUCCGGAUUUAUUGGGCGUAAAGAGAGUGCAGGCGGUUUUCUAAGUCUGAUGUGAAAGCCUUCGGCUUAACCGGAGAAGUGCAUCGGAAACUGGAUAACUUGAGUGCAGAAGAGGGUAGUGGAACUCCAUGUGUAGCGGUGGAAUGCGUAGAUAUAUGGAAGAACACCAGUGGCGAAGGCGGCUACCUGGUCUGCAACUGACGCUGAGACUCGAAAGCAUGGGGUAGCGAACAGGAUUAGAUACCCUGGUAGGAUAGCG
Molecule: ribosomal RNA, 475 nt
Filed under: uncultured bacterium
Lineage: Bacteria
Description: bacterial SSU rRNA
Rfam family: Bacterial small subunit ribosomal RNA
Source: RNAcentral